GUCCUGAUAGUAUAAACAUUACACUGGUCUUGUAAACCAGAAAUGAAAAUUUAUUUUUCUCAGGACA
RNAcentral lists this transfer RNA (67 nucleotides) under Arvicola amphibius (Eurasian water vole). RNAcentral's name for it is "tRNA-Thr". The record is from RNAcentral. Lineage: Eukaryota; Metazoa; Chordata; Mammalia; Rodentia; Cricetidae.